RNAcentral lists this ribosomal RNA (465 nucleotides) under uncultured bacterium. RNAcentral's name for it is "partial 16S ribosomal RNA". It matches the Rfam family "Bacterial small subunit ribosomal RNA", at positions 28 to 507 of the family's 1533-position model. The record is from RNAcentral.
GACGAACGCUGGCGGCGUGCUUAACACAUGCAAGUCGAACGGAAAGGCCCUGCUUGCAGGGUACUCGAGUGGCGAACGGGUGAGUAACACGUGGGUGAUCUGCCCUGCACUUCGGGAUAAGCCUGGGAAACUGGGUCUAAUACCGGAUAGGAGCCAUUUUUAGUGUGAUGGUUGGAAAGUUUUUUCGGUGUAGGAUGAGCUCGCGGCCUAUCAGCUUGUUGGUGGGGUAAUGGCCUACCAAGGCGGCGACGGGUAGCCGGCCUGAGAGGGUGGACGGCCACAUUGGGACUGAGAUACGGCCCAGACUCCGACGGGAGGCAGCAGUGGGGAAUAUUGCACAAUGGGCGCAAGCCUGAUGCAGCGACGCCGCGGGGGGGAUGACGGCCUUCGGGUUGUAAACGCCUUUCGCUAGGGACGAAGCUUUUUGUGACGGUACCUAGAUAAGAAGCACCGGCUAACUACGUG